Molecule: ribosomal RNA, 500 nt
Filed under: uncultured bacterium
Lineage: Bacteria
Description: partial 16S ribosomal RNA
Rfam family: Bacterial small subunit ribosomal RNA
Source: RNAcentral
AACGAACGCUGGCGGCAUGCUUUACACAUGCAAGUCGAACGGCAGCACGGACUUCGGUCUGGUGGCGAGUGGCGAACGGGUGAGUAAUACAUCGGAACGUGCCCAAUCGUGGGGGAUAACGUAGCGAAAGCUACGCUAAUACCGCAUACGAUCUAAGGAUGAAAGCGGGGGAUCGCAAGACCUCGCGCGAUUGGAGCGGCCGAUGGCAGAUUAGGUAGUUGGUAGGGUAAAGGCCUACCAAGCCGACGAUCUGUAGCUGGUCUGAGAGGAUGAUCGGCCACACUGGGACUGAGACACUGCCCAGACUCCUACGGGAGGCAGCAGUGGGGAAUUUUGGACAAUGGACGCAAGUCUGAUCCAGCCAUUCCGCGUGCAGGAUGAAGGCCCUCGGGUUGUAAACUGCUUUUGUACAGAACGAAAAGGCUCUGGUUAAUACCUAGGGCUCAUGACGGUACUGUAAGAAUAAGCACCGGCUAACUACGUGCCAGCAGCCGCCGUAA